RNAcentral lists this ribosomal RNA (250 nucleotides) under uncultured prokaryote. RNAcentral's name for it is "partial 16S rRNA". It matches the Rfam family "Bacterial small subunit ribosomal RNA", at positions 525 to 775 of the family's 1533-position model. The record is from RNAcentral.
ACGUAGGGGGCAAGCGUUAUCCGGAAUUAUUGGGCGUAAAGAGUGCGUAGGUGGUUUUGUAAGCGCGGGGUGAAAGGCAAUGGCUCAACUAUUGUAAGACCUGCGAACUGCAAGACUUGAGUGCAGGAGAGGAAAGCGGAAUUCCUAGUGUAGCGUUGAAAUGCGUAGAUAUUAGAAUGAACACCAGUGGCGAAGGCGUCUUUCUGGUCUGUAACUAUCACUGAAGCACGAAAGCGUGUGGAGCAAACAG